GUUUUUAUUUCCUAGAUCGACAGUAUUAUAUUAACAUUACUCCAGCCUACACGGCUAGGUUCAACACAGAUUGAUCUUGAUAUGGAAACUGUAGCUCUUCUCCUCCCCCCCCUUCUUCCAUCAUCAUAACGGUUCUCUGAGAGGAACCUCGACGGUUUCAUGCUGCAUCAUUCACACACACCGUGCAGUUCUGCUCCUCGUUGUCGUCCUUCCCCCUCACUCGUCCUCCUGCCCUUUUAUUCCUCCGAAGUCCUUGAUUCACGUAUAUUCUGCUGAAGAGCUCCUAUACGUCAGGCCGGCAGCAAGGGAGACAAAGACAGGCCGCAGUUAAUUACCUAUCAUUUAGAGCAGAUGGCUGCAGACGAUAUGUAAAUGUGUGCGUCUGUAUGGGUGUGUGUGAGUUUGUCUGCAGGGGUGUGCUUAUACGAUUGUUUAUUUGACUGCAUAUGUGUUUUCAGAUUUGCUUAGCAAAAAAACCAUUAAAAUGGUGUGAAGAAGUUUUGCAAUUAAAAUGAUGAUGCGGAUUGUUUUGCUCCAUCAAGACGUGUUAAUGACUGAAAUCAUAAUUACGGGUUUUGUUUUAGGGUUCCUGCAUGUUCAUUUGUGCUCAGCAGCCUGUUUACUUAUUAAGAAUAAAACCACAAAUUGUGUUUUUAUUCAGUUUAAAAGAGCCCUUUUCGUGUAUGUAAAAAAGACAAAGCAAACACAAGAAUUUGGAUUUAAUCUGUCGCAACAAAGCAACUUGAAUCUAGGCCAUAUGAUUCAGUGGAGAGAUUCGCGCUUUGGUCUUUGACAUGUUCUAGACAGAGAAGACAGAAAUGUUUUCUAUAGUGCGGAACAUGCAAAAGUUACAACGCCUUCCAUAUUCAUUGGCACCCCUUGUAAAAACAUGAAAAAGUCUUAAAUUGUAUUCAUAUCUAAUCUUAAUAACCUUAUGUCGUGGAAAAAUCCAACGAUUAAUUUGAGUAGAUUUCUUUUUUAUGAUAAGAAAUAACUGGGACUUUUUUAAACCUACCUGUGUCACAAUCAGGUUUAUUAAAAUGAGACGCUGACAAGGGAUUUUUCUGGUAACUUGGGAAACAAAUAUAUAGAACAACACACACAGGAAAGAUAAACCACACAAAAACCUUGUGUCCCAAUUGCUCACCUUUCUUUGCAUUAAUCAAUUCUAUUUUAUUUUAAUUUUUUUUGAAGAUUCUAAAAAUUGUGUGAAAGUAGAAGUGAGAGGAUGUUUUUAAUUCCUGUCCAACAGAAACAAAAUAUGCAUGAGGAAAACCGAUGCACAUGUUUCUGCAUAGUGUCCAAAAAAAGCCUUUCACAAUCAUAAGCAAACUAUUGCACACUUACUGAUUCUUUUAAAAUUUACAUUUUGAAAUGUUUGGAUCGUCUAGAAAUUUUGGUUUCCCAGGGGUAUAAAUUUGAUAUAGCACAGGUUUAUCUAUUUACUUACUCUUUAUUUAACCUGGUGAUCUAUUGAGAACAGAUUCGUAUUUACAUACGGACCAAUUUCUUUUAGCCACUCUUCAAAAUGGGAAAAACAACAGAAGAUUUCAUUCAACUGAGGUAAGAUGCAUUCUGAUCUUUAUAAGUCACCAAAUUCCCCUAAGUGGGUUUGUUUCACUUAACAGUUGAAGAAUAGAAAAGCUUAAAACAGCUGGAACUGACUGACAACAUUGGUUUAUUUUUCUGUGCAUGAAAGGCAGAAAAAUAGUUUUUGAACUACAGCAACAUAUGAUAGCGUGAGGUUACACCAUUGCAAAAAUAGAUGGAUUUAUUUGAAAGGUUUUGACAUGAAUUUAAACUAAACAUGGAGGGCGCUGUAUAAGUUGUUAUAUUUAUUUGAAAAGUUAAUGCUUGUUGAAUCUGUACUGGAUCACAGAUUAAUGUUACAGUGAACUCAGUGACACAGGGAGGCAUGUAACCACAGAGGGAAUGUGUGGUAUUCAUAUUAAUAGAACUGCAUGGAAAAAAAAAAACCUGUCUUCUGCAUUCGAACUAUACAUUAAACCUCCUCCAGGCCAACACGUUCUCACCGAAACCUGCACUGAUCGCAGUGAAAAUGCAUGCUACAGUGCACUGUUUUGUGCAUUGUGUGGUUGUUUCUGUAACGUGUGUGUGUGUGGAAAUAAUCUGUGUAUGUUUAUUCCCCACCAACACACUCAGCAGGAGCCUGCGAAUAUAGCCAGCAUGUGUGACUCUAAGUUUUCAGUACCGCAGAUGGAGACCCACUAAUUUACUCAUUAUGGAGAUUUAAUAUGGGAGAAAACUGCAAAUGUGACCACGUAGCAUUGUCCCCCUGUGUGUGUGUGUCAGUUCUUCAUUCAGCUUCAGCUCAGAUCCGUCCGCCCUCUUCCACUUUGCACAUGGAAAAUUAAGUGAUUCCUUUUUUUAUUAUCGUUAUUUGCACAGAUUAAUUUUCUUCAUGCUGGAGCUCGACUCCAUCGGUGCAGCAGCAACAAACAGCAGCAAGUGGAGCUCAUUCACACGAUGCAUAAAAACAGCGGAGCUUUGAUCCGGUCCUGCCUGUGGUCUGCAUCUCUCCCGAAGCAAAAAAACCAUUACAUGCACUUUAUGUGACAGAUGCACUUGUCAUGCAGAGGGAAGCUCAGAUCCCUGGCAAUCAGAGGUGUCGGGAGAUGCCUCCAGAAGCUAUAUUAAUAUUCAUGAGAGCAGGAGCUGCCCUAUGAUGUAAUUGCGGUAGCAGCGAAGACGGAGGACGACUGAGAUGAGAGUCUGUCGUCAAUUGUGUUAUCUCAGACUUUUUUAUGCCAACAGAGAGUCAGACUCUAGCGCAACAACGACUCUCUCCUGUUUUCUCUGGCUGGACACACAUCGCAGCAGGCGAGGCUUUUCAUCCUCAAAGCAACACUGCUUACAAACCUCAAGUCCACCCGUGUGGUCAGUUUCCAAGAGGGAUGUGCCUUGUAUUAAUAUUUCUCUCUUGGCUUGAAUGUGGUACUUAACAUCUUUACCUUAUAUCAAAGCAAAACAUCAAAUGUUGAUAUUUGACUAUUAAAGCACUUCUUCCUCAAAAAUUAUAAGCCA
This is a long non-coding RNA of Xiphophorus hellerii (green swordtail), 3045 nucleotides long. RefSeq lists it as uncharacterized. The record is from RefSeq and is a predicted model, not a curated record. The transcript has 4 exons. NCBI's taxonomy places the organism in Eukaryota, Metazoa, Chordata, Actinopteri, Cyprinodontiformes, Poeciliidae.